AAUCCACAUGCCAGGCUGGCCUCACCGCUGUGGUUGGCUUUCACAAAGUGCAGCUUGAAGAUGUCCAUGUUUGGCUCUAUGAAAUAAUGUGAAGAUGUUUCAUGAUUGCAUAAAAACAAAUGCACCGCAGAGACCUCCCACCAACAUGGCAGCACGUUAUGGGAUCUAACAAGAACGGGGAAGCCAACUGACUUCAGAAGGAAACACCUGAAACACAAUGGACAACGCAGAUUUGAGGGGAGAUAAUGGGGUGCACAGUCUGUAUAACUGCUAACCCUGAUCUGACCUGAGGGAACAGCCUUCUCUCAACAACAGGCUUCUGCACAAACAGCUUCCCCUCAGGCCGACAAAGCAGCUUCAGAACCAAGAACCACAGAGGCUGAACAGAGAAGCUGAAUCAGGAAGAUAAAUCAAGGGGACGUCAACCAAAUGCUAUCUGGAACAAAAACUUCCAGACCUGGGCCUGCUCUGAACCAAAAGAACCGAUUGCAAGAACCUCAACAGCCAGCUGUACUUAAAAGCUGCGAUUUUCCUCAGUGGUGAGACCCCAAAGCUUCCAACCUAGCUCCCAGAGAGGGGCAAGGGGGAGGUGGUGACAGUGUAUAGGACUCCAAGGGUAGGAAGCUUGAAUAAAGUUUCUAUGAUUAAAACCCUUGCUUUAAAUUCCAAUAGUGUUUAAUCUGGCUAAUUGUGUAUUUAAUAUAAUUACUGUCUUCUGCAUGAUUCAUUGUGUUAAUUGCACGUUAAUUGCAUUUACCUUUAUUUCUUGUAUUAUACUUACCUUUUGUAUGGUAAAUAAACACAGAGAUCCUUUUUUCCUUGAAACAUCUAUUUACUGUCUUCUUCAUUUCACAUUCCCUAAAUAAAUCCAGUGUCAGAACCAGGCAUCUGGGGGUGAUUCAGACCACCUAAAAUUCAGCAGAUUACGAUAGAUAUUCGAGUACAAGUUGUUUGCAUGUAAAAGUCAACCCCUAUUUUUGACCAAAAAAUCUGGCAUUUUCCAUAUAUAUCAUGUAAACGUUGACCCUAGUUCUUCACAGAUUUUUAUUUUUCUUUAUUUGUUUCGAGAUCAAUUGGGUUUCUGCUAUUGAUACAGUAUUUUGGACUGUCGCAUGAAUUCCAGCCCCAUAAAAGUAGCAUCCGUGUAACAGUCAGUCCCGUAAAUUUAACCUUAA
Non-coding RNA from Chiloscyllium plagiosum (whitespotted bambooshark), 1175 nucleotides. Lineage: Eukaryota; Metazoa; Chordata; Chondrichthyes; Orectolobiformes; Hemiscylliidae. The record is from RefSeq and is a predicted model, not a curated record.